AGACCUUGUAGGUGAGAAUUCUUCCUGGAUAACUUGCAAUACAAAAACAUUAUUCUGCCCUCUCCCUUUCAUUCUGGUGAGACUCAGCCCCCUGCCUGAAGUCCCACACUACAUGUAUGGCAUGUUCCCUGGAAUGAGAAGAAAAUGGUUUCCUAAUUCUGUUCUCAAGAUUACUCCCGUUUGCAAGUAAGUGUACCAAGACAGAACAAAACGUAAAAAUGACAGAAUCAUGGAAUCAGUCAGCACACCUUUUCAGAUUACAAGUUUAUUUCAGA
Long non-coding RNA from Passer domesticus (house sparrow), 275 nucleotides. RefSeq lists it as uncharacterized. The transcript is spliced from 3 exons. Lineage: Eukaryota; Metazoa; Chordata; Aves; Passeriformes; Passeridae. The record is from RefSeq and is a predicted model, not a curated record.